This 845-nucleotide ribosomal RNA is filed under the name Ascomycota sp. BR522. RNAcentral describes it as "eukaryotic LSU rRNA". It matches the Rfam family "Eukaryotic large subunit ribosomal RNA", at positions 62 to 937 of the family's 3401-position model. Lineage: Eukaryota; Fungi; Ascomycota. The record is from RNAcentral.
AGAACAACAGGGAUUGCCCCAGUAACGGCGAAGUGAAGCGGCAACAGCUCAAAUUUGAAAUCUGGCCUCGUGCCCGAGUUGUAAUUUGUAGAGGAUGCUUUUGGUGCGGUGCCUUCCGAGUUCCCUGGAACGGGACGCCAGAGAGGGUGAGAGCCCCGUACGGUUGGACACCAAGCCUCUGUAAAGCUCCUUCGACGAGUCGAGUAGUUUGGGAAUGCUGCUCUAAAUGGGAGGUAUAUCUCUUCUAAAGCUAAAUAUAGGCCAGAGACCGAUAGCGCACAAGUAGAGUGAUCGAAAGAUGAAAAGCACUUUGAAAAGAGGGUUAAAAAGUACGUGAAAUUGUUGAAAGGGAAGGGCUUGUGACCAGACUUGUGCCGGGCUGAUCAUCCGCGGUUCUUCCGCGGUGCACUCUGCCCGUGCCCAGGCCAGCGUCGGUUCUGGCAGGGGGACAAAAGCUUGGGGAACGUGGCUCCUUCGGGAGUGUUAUAGCCCCUUGCCCAAUGCCCCUGCCGGGACCGAGGUUCGCGCUCUGCAAGGACGCUGGCAUAAUGGUCACCAGCCACCCGUCUUGAAACACGGACCAAGGAGUCGAGGUUUUGCGCGAGUGUUUGGGUGUCAAACCCGCACGCGUAAUGAAAGUGAACGUAGGUGAGAGCUUCGGCGCAUCAUCGACCGAUCCUGAUGUAUUCGGAUGGAUUUGAGUAAGAGCGUAAAGCCUCGGACCCGAAAGAUGGUGAACUAUGCCUGAAUAGGGUGAAGCCAGAGGAAACUCUGGUGGAGGCUCGCAGCGGUUCUGACGUGCAAAUCGAUCGUCAAAUUUGGGCAUGGGGGCGAAAGACUAAUCG